Molecule: ribosomal RNA, 400 nt
Filed under: uncultured bacterium
Lineage: Bacteria
Description: bacterial SSU rRNA
Rfam family: Bacterial small subunit ribosomal RNA
Source: RNAcentral
UGGGGAAUAUUGGACAAUGGGGGAAACCCUGAUCCAGCAAUGCCGCGUGUGUGAAGAAGGCCUUCGGGUUGUAAAGCACUUUCAGUGGGGAGGAAGGGGUUAAUGUUAAUACCAUUAAUCAUUGACGUUACCUACAGAAGAAGCACCGGCUAACUCUGUGCCAGCAGCCGCGGUAAUACAGAGGGUGCGAGCGUUAAUCGGAAUUACUGGGCGUAAAGCGUGUGUAGGUGGUUGUAUAAGUUAGAUGUGAAAGCCCCGGGCUUAACCUGGGAAUUGCGUUUAAGACUGUAUGACUAGAGUACUGUAGAGGAUAGUGGAAUUUCCAGUGUAGCGGUGAAAUGCGUAGAUAUUGGAAGGAACACCAGUGGCGAAGGCGACUAUCUGGAUAGAUACUGACACU